CCAAUGGCGCUGCCGGGGAGGAGCCGCGGCCCCGGCCCGGCCCCGCCCGCCGCCCCCCGCCGCACUCGGCCUGGGUUCGGCGGAGCGGCGGGAGCUGCGGCUGCAGCUGCGGCGGCCCCGGACCCCGGGGGAGCGGUCCCGGCGCCCGGCUGGAGCGGCCUCUCCGCGCCCGAGGCACCGGCCCUGGAGUCACUGGCCACCUGCCCCGGAGGCACCUGCCGGACCCGAAGGAGCACGUGCAAUCCCUCUGCAAAACACAACCACCGGCCCCGGAAGGUGAGAGGUGAACGGUGAGCAGGGGGAUGCUGUUGGGGAAGAGCAGCUUGGAAAAGAGGACACUGGGCAGAGUGGCUUCAGCUUUGGGGCUCUCGUCAUUCUACAGGAAGGGGAUGGUGACCUGGAGCAUUGCCUGACGCUUACUGCACUGUGUUGUGGGGCAGGGAAUAGCAGGGACCCGAUAAACAAUAAGAGGUGUUUUGCUAAAGGUUCUAGACAGUGACUCAUCUACUGUAGGAAGGGACAAGAAGGAGAGGCAGCACAGGAGCUUUCUAGAGUACAAAUGGGUCUUUCCCCCUUUUUUUAUCAGAAGCAGGAGGUCAGGAAUCCCUUCUUACUCCCAGAACAGUGUAGAUGUGUAGGUUAUAAACCUCCUGAUGCAAGUGUCCCUGUACCAGCACCUCCUGCAUCCCUGUCCCUGGGGAGGAUCCUGCCUUCAGGCCACAUCCUGGGGUGGGACUGUUACAAAAUUUGGGGUGAUUUCCAGCCCUCACAGUCGAUAUUAUGUGAUCAUUCUUAGUCACUUCUGAGUCACUCCAAAUAAUUGAUCCUUGUCCAUACAUUGCACCAUGGUUCUGCGUGUGCCUGGCUGGGGUGUUUCAGAAGUCAUUUCCCUUGGCGCUGAGUUGCUCAGUCUUAACUUUUCUUUUGCAUCCAGCCUUCCUUCCUCAGGCUUUUCUGCCUUCUCCUGCCCUGGCCAGCACAGAGGAGGUGCAGUGCUGCUGCCUUUCACUUUUCCAGGUGUACUGCACCCUGAGAGGCCUCCCCAGCUAUUUGCAGCAUUGCUGACUGCCCCCACUUGAAAAGGUGUCUAUGUAAGGAGUUGUUUUGCUGAUAUUUGCCUGGAUUUGUUUUAUUUGCUGCUUCCAGUUUGCAGAGGAAUUGGUGCAGCCAGUUGGUCCUUGCUGACUGAGCACCUUGCUCACAAGGAGCAGCUGGCUUCCUCUCUCUGGGGAUUUAUGGCUUCUACACCACCUCUCCCCCUUUUCAUGCUGGGGAUAUACCUGGGAAUGCUGAUGGCUGAGCUGAUCUGGUGGUGGAUUUAUAAUCCCUCCCUGCAGGGAGGAAGGAAAGAUCCCCAGGCCCCCCAACAGACAGCCCUCAUGCCUCAUGUCAGUGGUUAAGUGCAGAUGACAAUAGCGAGGGUUUGCUGAGAAUUAUUCCUUUGCAAGAAGCAACUUUUGACCAAGAGUUGGUGUCUUUUUGAGACCCAUGAGUCUCUAAUCAUACCCUUUUCCAUUGCAAGGUGUUCUUUCACAAUUGGGCAGGCUCUUCAAACCCUCUAGGAAAUGGCUGUGGGGUCUGAGAGGGGUCCUGGGGCUGGUCCUGGCUGGUCCUUGCCCUGUUGCCCUGGGCACUUUAGAAUCUGGGGUUCUCACUUUAUCUGGGUUAAGCUCCCAAGGAAGGAGGUGUGACUUGAGAUCCAGAACUGGUUUGAGAGAUCAGAACUGGGCCAAUUUCUAGGCCAGAACGGGGCUCUGGGUGUCCCAAGGGCAGAUUUGGGCACAGAAACAGUUGAAGAUUAAGGUUCUCACCUCCCUUCAUUGCACAGGUGCCUUCUUCUGCUGAACGUGGAGGGGGUUAUCUCCCUGGCAUCUGCUGGGCAGGUAGCAGCACAUAUGGCAGGACAUAGCUUUAUUAUUCCUUUCAAAGCAUGAAAAACACCCCUUGCUGAGAGGUACUGGAGCUGUGAAAUGCAGACGGGGCUGCCCCCAGGAAUAGCAGCAGCCUAAGGGAAUGGAGAGAAAGCUUUUCUUCUUGCCGUACCACCUCACCCUCUGAAGAGAGCGUUCACUGUGUCUGCAUCCCCCAGAGGAAGGUUUAACAGCGCCAGGCUUUGCUGUAACCCUCAGGCACCGUGUGGAUGAGCCUGGAUGGAGAAAUGGCUGAAUGGGACAGUGCAUCUUUGCCUCUUUGUUUCAGUUCU
Corvus moneduloides (New Caledonian crow) is the source of this 2203-nucleotide long non-coding RNA. Lineage: Eukaryota; Metazoa; Chordata; Aves; Passeriformes; Corvidae. The record is from Ensembl.